AUGGAACAGGCGUCAGUGAAAAAUGUCUCCAACCUUGAAACCAGCGACAUGUGGACCGGACUGAACGACCUGGCGCUUCCCGGCACGUUGGUGUGGUCGGACCGCCACGAGGUGACCUUCACCCACUGGGCCGCGGGAGAACCCAUCCAGCGCGUCGGCCUCGACCAACACUGCGUGGCUGUGUUACGGCAGACUGGAAGAUGGAAGCGAAUGUCCUGCGCCCAAGUCAACAGCUUCAUGUGCAAAAUGCCCACAGCGCAUUUUCCAAUUGCCUCACCGGAGCCACAGGUGGCGCCGUAGAGUUCACCUGGCUGUGUCAGUUCCCAACGGCCCAAGAGCCCAUGGAGAAAAUUGACAAUGCAAGAAAGUCAUCAUCGAAGACGGAGAAUUUAAUGCCCUUCUGACUCUGCUCGAAAUAAAUAGUAUCAGCAUUGUAACAAAA
Molecule: long non-coding RNA, 442 nt
Organism: Syngnathus acus (greater pipefish)
Lineage: Eukaryota; Metazoa; Chordata; Actinopteri; Syngnathiformes; Syngnathidae
Exons: 3
Source: RefSeq, a predicted model, not a curated record